UACGUAGGGGGCAAGCGUUGUCCGGAUUUAUUGGGCGUAAAGAGCGUGUAGGCGGCUAGAUAGGUCCGUUGUGAAAACUCGAGGCUCAACCUCGAGACGUCGAUGGAAACCAUCUGGCUAGAGUCCGGAAGAGGAGAGUGGAAUUCCUGGUGUAGCGGUGAAAUGCGCAGAUAUCAGGAAGAACACCCCGUGGCGAAGGCGACUACCUGGCCUGUUCUUGACGCUGAGGCGCGAAAGCUAGGGGAGCAAACGGG
This 254-nucleotide ribosomal RNA is filed under the name uncultured bacterium. Its description in RNAcentral is "partial 16S ribosomal RNA". It matches the Rfam family "Bacterial small subunit ribosomal RNA", at positions 524 to 776 of the family's 1533-position model. The record is from RNAcentral.